GACGAACGCUGGCGGCGUGCCUAAUACAUGCAAGUUGAGCGCUGAAGGUUGGUACUUGUACCAACUGGAUGAGCAGCGAACGGGUGAGUAACGCGUGGGGAAUCUGCCUUUGAGCGGGGGACCACAUUUGGAAACGAAUGCUAAUACCGCAUAAAAACUUUAAACACAAGUUUUACGUUUGAAAGAUGCAAUUGCAUCACUCAAAGAUGAUCCCGCGUUGUAUUAGCUAGUUGGUGAGGUAAAGGCUCACCAAGGCGAUGAUACAUAGCCGACCUGAGAGGGUGAUCGGCCACAUUGGGACGGAGACACGGCCCAAACGCCUACGGGAGGCAGCAGUAGGGAAUCUUCGGCAAUGGACGAAAGUCUGACCGAGCAACGCCGCGUGAGUGAAGAAGGUUUUCGGAUCGUAAAACUCUGUUGGUAGAGAAGAACGUUGGUGAGAGUGGAAAGCUCAUCAAGUGACGGUAACUACCCAGAAAGGGACGGCUAACUACGUG
RNAcentral lists this ribosomal RNA (497 nucleotides) under uncultured bacterium. RNAcentral describes it as "partial 16S ribosomal RNA". It matches the Rfam family "Bacterial small subunit ribosomal RNA", at positions 28 to 507 of the family's 1533-position model. The record is from RNAcentral.